RNAcentral lists this ribosomal RNA (488 nucleotides) under uncultured bacterium. RNAcentral describes it as "bacterial SSU rRNA". It matches the Rfam family "Bacterial small subunit ribosomal RNA", at positions 30 to 511 of the family's 1533-position model. The record is from RNAcentral.
AUUGAACGCUGGUGGCAUGCUUAACACAUGCAAGUCGAACGGUAACAGAGCUAGCUUGCUAGCUGCUGACGAGUGGCGGACGGGUGAGUAACGCGUAGGAAUCUACCUACUGGAGGGGGAUACCAUCUGGAAACGGAUGCUAAUACCGCAUAAUACCUAAGGGUUAAAGGUGGCCUUUGUGCUGCCGCCAGCUGAUGAGCCUGCGUUGGAUUAGCUAGUUGGUGAGGUAAGGGCUCACCAAGGCUACGAUCCAUAGCUGAUUUGAGAGGAUGAUCAGCCACAUUGGGACUGAGACACGGCCCAAACUCCUACGGGAGGCAGCAGUGGGGAAUAUUGGACAAUGGGGGAAACCCUGAUCCAGCAAUGCCAUGUGUGUGAAGAAGGCCUUAGGGUUGUAAAGCACUUUAGUUGGGGAGGAAGUUGAUUGAGUUAAUAGCUUAAUUGAUUGACGUUACCCAAAGAAUAAGCACCGGCUAACUCCGUGCCAG